Molecule: ribosomal RNA, 966 nt
Filed under: Flavobacterium johnsoniae
Lineage: Bacteria; Pseudomonadati; Bacteroidota; Flavobacteriia; Flavobacteriales; Flavobacteriaceae
Description: bacterial SSU rRNA
Rfam family: Bacterial small subunit ribosomal RNA
Source: RNAcentral
AGUCGAGGGGUAGGGCACUUCGGUGCUUGAGACCGGCGCACGGGUGCGUAACGCGUAUGCAAUCUGCCUUCCACAGAGGGAUAGCCCAGAGAAAUUUGGAUUAAUACCUCAUAGCAUCAUGACCCGGCAUCGGGAUAUGAUUAAAGUCACAACGGUGGAAGAUGAGCAUGCGUCCCAUUAGCUAGUUGGUAAGGUAACGGCUUACCAAGGCUACGAUGGGUAGGGGUCCUGAGAGGGAGAUCCCCCACACUGGUACUGAGACACGGACCAGACUCCUACGGGAGGCAGCAGUGAGGAAUAUUGGUCAAUGGGCGCAAGCCUGAACCAGCCAUGCCGCGUGCAGGAUGACGGUCCUAUGGAUUGUAAACUGCUUUUGUACGGGAAGAAACCCUCCUACGUGUAGGAGCUUGACGGUACCGUAAGAAUAAGGAUCGGCUAACUCCGUGCCAGCAGCCGCGGUAAUACGGAGGAUCCAAGCGUUAUCCGGAAUCAUUGGGUUUAAAGGGUCUGUAGGCGGUCUUGUAAGUCAGUGGUGAAAGCCCAUCGCUCAACGGUGGAACGGCCAUUGAUACUGCUGGACUUGAAUUAUUGGGAAGCAACUAGAAUAUGUAGUGUAGCGGUGAAAUGCUUAGAGAUUACAUGGAAUACCAAUUGCGAAGGCAGGUUGCUACCAAUGGAUUGACGCUGAUGGACGAAAGCGUGNUAGCGAACAGGAUUAGAUACCCUGGUAGUCCACGCCGUAAACGAUGGAUACUAGCUGUUGGGCGCAAGUUCAGUGGCUAAGCGAAAGUGAUAAGUAUCCCACCUGGGGAGUACGAACGCAAGUUUGAAACUCAAAGGAAUUGACGGGGGCCCGCACAAGCGGUGGAGCAUGUGGUUUAAUUCGAUGAUACGCGAGGAACCUUACCAAGGCUUAAAUGCAGACUGACCGGUUUGGAAACAGACCUUUCGCAAGACGGUCUACAA